RNAcentral lists this unclassified non-coding RNA (239 nucleotides) under plant metagenome. RNAcentral's name for it is "partial contains small subunit ribosomal RNA, internal transcribed spacer 1, and 5.8S ribosomal RNA". The record is from RNAcentral.
UUUCCGUAGGUGAACCUGCGGAAGGAUCAUUAUCGAGUUACGAUCUCUGGCCCGCCUUCCAACACUCUAUCUACUAUACCAUGUGGCUUUGGCGGGCCCGCUUUUGUCGCCGCCGAUGGGUUGACCCCCCUGGGCUAGGGCCCGCCGAUAGCCCCCUCUUUAACUCUUGAUCAACAGUGAAUGUCUGAGUAAAAGAAAAAUCAAGCACAAAACUUUCAACAACGGAUCUCUUGGUUCUG